GUGGGUGCUAGGACUUGCCUUCAUUGACGUUUCCUAGGUUGAUCAUUGUCUUGACCUCUCGUGUUUCUGGAUCUUUAGCUUCUUGUCGGAGCCUGAUCAGGCUAGCAUAUCUAUGAGUCUUCUGGAUGAUCGGGCCUUCGGUUUUAGCCUUCUAGAUCCUUGAUUUCCAGCCGGGUCUUGGUCACAUCCUUGGAUCACACAGGCAUAUAAACAAGCAAACAAAUAUACAAUCAAUUCUAGCAAUCAAUGUAUGACUAAAGAAGAUGGGAAAGGACGGUUGAUGGACAUUUUAACAAAUAUAUAAAAUUGUGGAAUUUCUAAGAGAAUUCUAAGAAAUUAGGAAUGGAUUUUUAGAGUUUUGGAUGGGCAGCAUAACAGCUAGGGUUUGAUUGAUAUCUAGGGUUUGAAUUGGGCAGCAUAUCUAGUUGGAUGAUAUUUGGGGUCUUUAGUUGGGUGGUAUAACGGCUAGGUUGGGUCAGUUUAUGUGGUUUUGAUUGGGCGGUACAACAAUAGGGUUUUGGAAUAAUUUGAGAUUUUGGAUGGGCGACACUACAACUAGAUGGGGUUAAGGAUUAGGGUUUUAGUUGAGUAGCAUCCCAACUGGGUUUUGGAAUAGACUUUGGGUAAUAUUAGAUUCUGGGUGAUGGGAGUGGAUUUCAAGGUUUAGAAAACUUGUACGACAAGCUUGGCUUUGACCCUAUGGAGGGUGGAGCUGGCCAAGUUUCCUUAUCUAGGGUGGAACUUCAGAGCUUGUGCGACAGUUGGUCUGGCAAGAUCAAGUGGAAGCUAGAGAACUUGUAUGACGGACACCACUUGCCCUGGUGCUA
Molecule: long non-coding RNA, 827 nt
Filed under: Setaria viridis
Lineage: Eukaryota; Viridiplantae; Streptophyta; Magnoliopsida; Poales; Poaceae
Description: long non-coding RNA (SVIR_LNC007577)
Source: RNAcentral